AUCAUGUUGAAACACCGGUUCCCGCACGACCACCGAAGUUAAGUAACGUCCAGCCAUGGUCAGUACCUACAUGGGUUACCGCUUGGGAACACCAGAUGCUGUAAG
This is a non-coding RNA of Acanthosepion pharaonis, 105 nucleotides long. NCBI's taxonomy places the organism in Eukaryota, Metazoa, Mollusca, Cephalopoda, Sepiida, Sepiidae. The record is from the annotation of a GenBank genome assembly.